This 818-nucleotide long non-coding RNA is filed under the name Homo sapiens (human). Its description in RNAcentral is "non-protein coding lnc-TSHZ1-4:3". The record is from RNAcentral. Lineage: Eukaryota; Metazoa; Chordata; Mammalia; Primates; Hominidae.
AGGGACCGGUAGGCGCCGGGGUCAGCGCCAGCGUUUGAUGUGCGGCGGGGAGCGGGCCGAGCCCCGGGAGGCCGCUUCGCACCUCCCAGUGUGUCCGGGUUGAGCGCGAGGUCAGGAGGGGACGCAGAGUUCACGGCGAAGACGGAUCGCGGGGGCUCGUCCCGCCCGGGUUGCGCGCAGCGGGGGCCGCGUGAUGGAUGGGCCGGGCCGGGCACCCGGGAACCCGCGAGCGCGGGGCUGGGCUCUGGGCUGCGUCCGGGGGCCCCGACUUGGUUAUUGAUCGGCCCAAGCGCAGGAGAACUGACUCUAUAAUGCAUCGCCUGACCAGGAAAAGUGUUUGCUUUUGUGGGAGCAAAAGACAACUUUCUGCCCCGCCAGAGCGUUGCUAAGUGAGCGGUAAUGACCACGCUAGAAAUUUCAUAGGGAGAGGCUAAUGGCAGGCUGACUCUAAAAGUGCUUUUAAGUGCAACUUCUGUCUAAUCCCUUGAGGGGGAAGAAAACAUCGGCGACUAAGAAAGUUCAAGUUGUACAGGACCCGGGUUUUUGGGGUCGGGGUCACUUCUGCUCUGCGUGACUUUGAAGAGGAAGACCUGCGGUUUUUUCCAGUGGAUUUUCACACGUGUUUUAAAGAGAACUCCCGGCUCCUGAAAUGAAAGGCCCGCCUGUAGGGUUUUGCUGCCUCCCCUCUGCCCACGCCCCACCCCCACAGCCUGGAUCAAAGCGAUCAGACAAAUUAUUCAGAAGUAACACAGCCCUGAAAUGUUCCUAAACGUGACUAUUUGAGGCGAUGAAUCAAGCGUGUUCCCUCCGCCCCCAAC